GUGAAUCAUCAAAUUUUUGAACGCAAAUUGCGCUUCCUGGUAUCCCGGGAAGUAUGCCUAUUUGAGGGUCAGUAUUAACAAAAAAUCGGUUUGGUUGCAAAUUGUGACGAUUCCGGAGUUUGGUCUUAUCUUAACUUUUUUGGUUAAGGGGCUUAAAAUUGACCUUUUUUGCGUAUUUUUAUCCGUUCAUACAUUUUUUUAUAUGCGUCUAUUCUUAAUGU
This 221-nucleotide unclassified non-coding RNA is filed under the name Glomeromycetes sp. RNAcentral's name for it is "partial contains 5.8S ribosomal RNA and internal transcribed spacer 2". The stretch from base 1 to 71 matches the Rfam family "5.8S ribosomal RNA", at positions 84 to 154 of the family's 154-position model. The record is from RNAcentral. Lineage: Eukaryota; Fungi; Glomeromycota; Glomeromycetes.